Molecule: long non-coding RNA, 1770 nt
Filed under: Olea europaea (common olive)
Lineage: Eukaryota; Viridiplantae; Streptophyta; Magnoliopsida; Lamiales; Oleaceae
Description: long non-coding RNA (OEUR_LNC014784)
Source: RNAcentral
AGAAACCAGCGUUGACUAAAAAUGUAUGCUCCUCCAGGAUAUCAAGAAAUGUCAUACUUUGAUCAUAUUCAAAGACGCAGGGAGGAAAAGGGCCAUCUUUAUGCUUGGUUUGUACCUUUAUAAUCACUUUUUUUGAUUAAUUUCACUAUUUUUUGGAUUAAAACUCUGCUUUAUACAUAUUAUUUGAUUGUAAUUUCCAGCCUGUUUGCUCUUUGUUGCUGUUUCCUUUGCUACGAGACUUGUGAGUGCUGCUUGGAUAUCUGCUGCUGCUCCUGCGCUUAGUGCAUGUUUGGUCGGGAUUAUGAAUUAAACGAAUUUGAAUCUUAUUUAUUGUAUUGUCUACACUUGUGUGUCUUAUGAUGUGUACUAAACGUAUUGAUGAAUGAUAAUAUACUGUUGAAUGAUUGAGUAAAUUAGUGAAUAAGUUUUAUGCAGUGAUGCUCAUUUUAAGGUUUUUUCAGUUUCUUUUUCUAUAAUUUCUUUGAUGUUCAAUGUUGUUACCAAAGUCACAAGAGAGCAAUAAUUAUUAACAACCAUAAAGUUAAAUUGCUAGUUCUUUGUAUAAAAUGGGAGAAGAACAUAUUUUUUGGGGUGGAGCAAUGCGGUGGUUGGCGGUGGCCGGAUGGUUGUUGGGAUGGGGCCGCGAGGAUUAAAGGGGAAGGUGAAGGUGUUUUCACAGUAACUUAAAAGCAUUUUUAAACCGGAUCUUUCUCCACGUAUCACUUUUACCUAGAAAUAAAAUGUUUUAAGAUAAUGUCAAGAAAAAAGUCGUGGCUGGAAAUGAAAAUUACAUCAACGUAAGCGACUAUUAUAAUUUCUAGAACAAGAACUCGUGUCUAAAUGUCUAUGGAUGCCAUAAUCUUGUAAAAUAAGUAAUUCUUGCUGUACUAUUAAAAUAAGUAAUCUUUUAACAACUCUUGACAAAUAAAAAACUUAAAUAAUUCCGAACUUCCAUGCAAAACUCACAAUCAGCCCAGUUCCUGUUGUGUCAAGCACCAUUCCCAUUUUUUGGUAAAAUGUAUUACAUAAUGAUGAUUUUUGGAGAAUGCGAAAUUAAAAAGUGAGUUUUAUUUUUUUUAAAAUACAUUUAUAAUUAUUUUAUGGGAGGAUGUGUGAUUGAAAAUAAGAUUUAAAAAAAAUGCGUUCUUGAAAAAAUGAAGCUCAAUGUUAAUUUCUUUUUGGACGACAGUAAUUUUGAUACUUAUACAAUUCAAUCAUGCUAUAUAAAUAGAAAUUUUGAAAUAAUAUCACAAGACAUUAUCAUUGAAAUGUUUUAAACAUAGUUAACUUUUUUCAUUGCAUUAGUUUAGCCGACAACGGUAGACGAAGUGACCAGAUUUGCAAAUGACUAUAAGUUGGGUGACUUGAUUAUAUCAAAUUGAAGAUGAGUGCCCCAGAUGAAACUUCUCUCACAGUUGGGUGACCUUCUGUCCAUUUAACCCGUUACUUAGUAAUUAAGUUUAAAUGGAGACCAUAUGACUAAAUCUGAGCCGUUGAUGCAAAAUUUCACCCUAUAUAUGUACCCAUAAUUUUCUUUAUGAUGCCCUCACUUUUUCUUGCUUUCACCAUUAGAAACCAGCGUUGACUAAAAAUGUAUGCUCCUCCAGGAUAUCAAGAAAUGUCAUACUUUGAUCAUAUUCAAAGACGCAGGGAGGAAAAGGGCCAUCUUUAUGCUUGGUUUGUACCUUUAUAAUCACUUUUUUUGAUUAAUUUCACUAUUUUUUGGAUUAAAACUCUGCUUUAUACAUAUUAUUUGAUUGUAAUUUCCAG